GGGGAAGUAGCUCAACUGGUAGAGCAUUAACACAUGGUGAAUUGAUCAUAGGUUCGAGGUUCGAAUCCUAGCUUGUCCA
This 79-nucleotide transfer RNA is filed under the name Daucus carota subsp. sativus. RNAcentral describes it as "tRNA trnX-cat". It matches the Rfam family "tRNA". Rfam says of the family: Transfer RNA (tRNA) molecules are approximately 80 nucleotides in length. Their secondary structure includes four short double-helical elements and three loops (D, anti-codon, and T loops). Lineage: Eukaryota; Viridiplantae; Streptophyta; Magnoliopsida; Apiales; Apiaceae. The record is from Rfam by way of RNAcentral.